This 395-nucleotide ribosomal RNA is filed under the name uncultured bacterium. RNAcentral's name for it is "partial 16S ribosomal RNA". It matches the Rfam family "Bacterial small subunit ribosomal RNA", at positions 361 to 773 of the family's 1533-position model. The record is from RNAcentral.
AUAUUGUAUGAUGGGGGAAACCCUGCUGCAGCGACGCCGCGUGAGUGAAGAAGUAUUUCGGUGUGUAAAGCUCUAUCAGCUGGGAAGAAAAUGACGGUACCUGACUAAGAAGCCCCGGCUCACUACGUGCCCGCAGCCGCGGUAAUACGUAGGGGGCAAGCGUUAUCCGGAUUUACUGGGUGUAAAGGGAGCGUAGGUGGUUUGGUAAGUCAGAUGUGAAAGCCCGGGGCUCAACCCCGGGACUGCAUUUGAAACUACCAAACUAGAGUGCAGGAGAGGUAAGUGGAAUUCCUAGUGUAGCGGUGAAAUGCGUAGAUAUUAGGAGGAACACCAGUGGCGAAGGCGGCUUACUGGACUGUAACUGACACUGAGGCUCGAAAGCGUGGGGAGCAAAC